GCACCGGUAGUCUAAUGGUAGAAUAGUAUCCUGCCAAUGUAUAGACUUGGGUUCGUUCCUGGCUGGUGCA
This is a non-coding RNA of Nicotiana attenuata, 70 nucleotides long. NCBI's taxonomy places the organism in Eukaryota, Viridiplantae, Streptophyta, Magnoliopsida, Solanales, Solanaceae. The record is from Rfam.